Sardina pilchardus (European sardine) is the source of this 323-nucleotide long non-coding RNA. RefSeq lists it as uncharacterized. The record is from RefSeq and is a predicted model, not a curated record. The transcript is spliced from 3 exons. Lineage: Eukaryota; Metazoa; Chordata; Actinopteri; Clupeiformes; Clupeidae.
CUAGAUUCAAGAUGGCUGCUACCGCUAAACUUUCGAAAGUGACUGCCUGAAUAAACAGUCAUGAGAUACAAUGAUGCCACAGAGGUGGAUGCUGGCAGCAGAGGGUGAGGUGAUCCUUGGGCCAUCUUCCACGCCGUUUGCUGAGGGUCUGGGUGCAUUAUUUGCCAUUUACUACAAUUUCAACAUCGCUUACCAACAGGAAGCUGCAUGCGCCUUAGAGUUCAUUCAAAGAACGCACUCUCUUACCGGGAGGACGACCAAUGCCUUCAGGGACCAUGAGGCAAAACCCCAACUUUGCCUAAAGAAGGUGUCGGCAAUCUGUU